CUCAGAACUAACAGGCACAGAAGGCUCAAAUUGCUGAAUGAGACACUUGGUCUGACACUGAGAUAAAAGAGCACAGCAAGACCUUGAGCUCCGGAAGAGACUGAAGCCACACGAUUGUAAAAGUGGCAAGAUGAAAGAGCCCAUUGCUAACAUUUGCUUCCCUGACCCUGAACACCCCCUUCCUAUGGACUAGAAUAAAUAACUAGGUGAAUCUUAAAGGUAAACUCCCCAACUGCAAAAAACUGUUACAUCUGGGUUGAAAAGUUAACUAUCCUGUGACCAUGAUUUGAACUAUGAGAAUGAAGUGUAACCUCGCAUAUGAAGUCAAGGCUGUAAAACCCUAUAAAAGGAGGAGUUGUAACCCAGUGCAUCAUUGAUCCAGGCACGGCUUAUGUGCGAUAGACCACCAUCGGUGGAGUGAAUUUGUUAUUUCACUUCCGUUCUGCUGCCCCUCUGUGUGUCACUUACUGAUUCCUUCCGUACCAUUCUGGCCAUUAGAGGAAUGCAAAUUGAAACAACACUGAGAUUCCAUUUUACUCCAAAAAAGAAAAAGAGCUAUUAUCAAGAAAUCGAACAAUAAAUGCAGAGUUGGAAUGGCAGGUGAAGGAGUGUUCUCACUGUUGCUAAGGGAGCAGAUGUCGGACUAGCUUUCUACCCAUGAGUUUGAAAACGCAGUCUUUACAAACAAGAAGAAUGCUGGGCAGUUGGCCAUUGGUGAUCCAGACCUGAGGCAAGCAAGCAGAAGGGCUUUGGAGAUGACUCUCAACUCUAAUGCUGCCCAGCCAGUCCCAGAUACCCACCAGAUUUCAGGCCUGACAUGCGAAGUUCUUUGCAGAAGCCACACUUACAAACAGAGGACAGGGGCUCCCCCAUCUUCCCAGGGAUCAAUUCCAGGGCCUUGUGCAUGCUAA
RNAcentral lists this long non-coding RNA (911 nucleotides) under Fukomys damarensis (Damara mole-rat). RNAcentral describes it as "lncRNA (ENSFDAG00000028458.1)". The record is from RNAcentral. Lineage: Eukaryota; Metazoa; Chordata; Mammalia; Rodentia; Bathyergidae.